GUCGAACGCUGGCGGCGUGCCUAAUACAUGCAAGUCGAACGCAGUGGGGACGGGUGAGUAACACGUGGGUAACCUCCCAUCAGAGGGGAUAACACUUGGAAACAGGUGCUAAACCGAUACUGAUGGAUGGACCAGCGGUGCAUUAGCUAGUUGGUGAGGUAACGGCUCACCAAGGCCACGAUGCAUAGCCGGCCUGAGCGGAUGGUCGGCCACACUGGGACUGAGACACGGCCCAGACUCCUCCGGGAGGCAGCAGUAGGGAAUCUUCGGCAAUGGACGAAAGUCUGAACGAGCAACGCCGCGUGGGUGAAGAAGGUUUUCGGAUCGUAAAACUCUGUUAUUAGAGAAGCGGUAUCUAACCAGAAAGCCACGGCUAACUACGUGCCAGCCGCCGCGGUAAUUC
RNAcentral lists this ribosomal RNA (403 nucleotides) under uncultured bacterium. Its description in RNAcentral is "partial 16S ribosomal RNA". It matches the Rfam family "Bacterial small subunit ribosomal RNA", at positions 28 to 526 of the family's 1533-position model. The record is from RNAcentral.